This is a long non-coding RNA of Homo sapiens (human), 1036 nucleotides long. Ensembl annotates it as gonadotropin releasing hormone receptor 2 (pseudogene). Its record names the gene GNRHR2. The record is from Ensembl. Lineage: Eukaryota; Metazoa; Chordata; Mammalia; Primates; Hominidae.
AUCUUCGUUCCCUGCAGAACCUUGACAGUUGAACAAGUGACCUCCUCCAGAACAGAUGGAGAGUCUCCAGAAGCAGAGGCUUUAGUGAACGAAAUUCGCAAUAAUCAGCUCCAGAUCCUGAAAAGGAGGGCGAAGAAUCAGUGGCCAAAGCUAACCGCUUCAUACCCACACUUCAUCCUCCUCAGUUUCUCUCCAGGCCACCAUGUCUGCAGGCAACGGCACCCCUUGGGAUGCCACCUGGAAUAUCACUGUUCAAUGGCUGGCUGUGGACAUCGCAUGUCGGACACUGAUGUUCCUGAAACUAAUGGCCACGUAUUCUGCAGCUUUCCUGCCUGUGGUCAUUGGAUUGGACCGCCAGGCAGCAGUACUCAACCCGCUUGGAUCCCGUUCAGGUGUAAGGAAACUUCUGGGGGCAGCCUGGGGACUUAGUUUCCUGCUUGCCUUCCCCCAGGGAUCUAGAACUAGAAAUACCAUUUGACCCAGCCAUCCCAUUACUGGGUAUAUACCCAAAGGACUAUAAAUCAUGCUGCUAUAAAGACACAUGCACACAUGUUUAUUGCGGCACUAUUCACAACAGCAAAGACUUGGAACCAACCCAAAUGUCUAAUAAUGAUAGACUGGAUUAAGAAAAUGUGGCACAUAUACACCAUGGAAUACUAUGCAGCCGUAAAAAAUGAUGAGUUCAUGUCCUUUGUAGGGACAUGGAUGAAAUUGGAAAUCAUCAUUCUCAGUAAACUAUUGCAAGGACAAAAAACCAAACACCGCAUGUUCUCACUCAUAGAUGGGAAUUGAACAAUGAGAACACAUGGACACAGGAAGGGGAACAUCACACUCUGGGGACUGUUGGGGGGUGGGGGGAGGGGGGAGGGAUAGCAUUAGGAGAUAUACCUAAUGCUAAAUGACGAGUUAAUGGGUGCAGCACACCAGCAUGGCACAUGUAUACAUAUGUAACUAACCUGCACAUUGUGCACAUGUACCCUAAAACUUAAAGUAUAAUAAUAAUAAUAAUAAUAAAAGAGCCUGCCUUGUAAAAACA